GCACCAGUAGCUUAAUGGUAGAGCGUGCCCCUCAUAAGGGCUUGGUUGUGGGUUCGAGUCCCUCCUAGGUGCA
Molecule: transfer RNA, 73 nt
Filed under: Providencia phage vB_PreS_PR1
Lineage: Duplodnaviria; Heunggongvirae; Uroviricota; Caudoviricetes; Demerecviridae
Rfam family: tRNA
About the family: Transfer RNA (tRNA) molecules are approximately 80 nucleotides in length. Their secondary structure includes four short double-helical elements and three loops (D, anti-codon, and T loops).
Source: Rfam by way of RNAcentral